UACAGGGGGGGCAAGCGUUGUUCGGAAUUACUGGGCGUAAAGGGCUCGUAGGCGGCCAACUAAGUCACACGUGAAAUCCCCAGGCUUAACCUGGGAACUGCGUGUGAUACUGGAUGGCUUGAAUUCGGGAGAGGGAUGCAGAAUUCCAGGUGUAGCGGUGAAAUGCGCAGAUAUCAGGAGGAACACCGGUGGCGAAGGCGGCCUCCUGGUUCAAUACUGACGCUGAGGUGCGAAAGCGUGGGGAGCAAACAGG
RNAcentral lists this ribosomal RNA (253 nucleotides) under uncultured bacterium. RNAcentral describes it as "partial 16S ribosomal RNA". It matches the Rfam family "Bacterial small subunit ribosomal RNA", at positions 524 to 776 of the family's 1533-position model. The record is from RNAcentral.